GAAAUAUCCAUAAGAAGAAACUUCUAAUUUCAUAUCUUUAGCAUUUUUGUUAAUAUUUCU
RNAcentral lists this transfer RNA (60 nucleotides) under Elateroidea sp. 5 KM-2017. RNAcentral describes it as "tRNA-Ser". Lineage: Eukaryota; Metazoa; Arthropoda; Insecta; Coleoptera. The record is from RNAcentral.